AAAACUUUUAACAACGGAUCUCUUGGUCCUGGCAUCGAUGAAGAACGCAGCGAAAUGCGAUAAGUAAUGUGAAUUGCAGAAUUCAGUGAAUCAUCGAAUCUUUGAACGCACAUUGCGCCCCCUGGUAUUCCGGGGGGCAUGCCUGUUCGAGCGUCAUU
RNAcentral lists this ribosomal RNA (158 nucleotides) under uncultured Mycosphaerellaceae. Its description in RNAcentral is "5.8S ribosomal RNA". It matches the Rfam family "5.8S ribosomal RNA". From Rfam's summary of the family: 5.8S ribosomal RNA (5.8S rRNA) is a component of the large subunit of the eukaryotic ribosome. It is transcribed by RNA polymerase I as part of the 45S precursor that also contains 18S and 28S rRNA. Lineage: Eukaryota; Fungi; Ascomycota; Dothideomycetes; Mycosphaerellales; Mycosphaerellaceae. The record is from RNAcentral.